GCGAUGAUGCCCAGCUUGCUGGGCGGAUUAGUGGCGAACGGGUGAGUAAUACGUGAGUAACCUGCCCUUGACUCUGGGAUAAGCCUGGGAAACUGGGUCUAAUACUGGAUACUACGUCCUGCCGCAUGGUGGGGGGUGGAAAGGGUUUUACUGGUUUUGGAUGGGCUCACGGCCUAUCAGCUUGUUGGUGGGGUAAUGGCUCACCAAGGCGACGACGGGUAGCCGGCCUGAGAGGGUGACCGGCCACACUGGGACUGAGACACGGCCCAGACUCCUACGGGAGGCAGCAGUGGGGAAUAUUGCACAAUGGGCGGAAGCCUGAUGCAGCGACGCCGCGUGAGGGAUGACGGCCUUCGGGUUGUAAACCUCUUUCAGUAGGGAAGAAGCGAGAGUGACGGUACCUGCAGAAGAAGCGCCGGCUAACUACGUGCCAGCAGCCGCGGUAAUACGUGGCGCCAAGCGUUGUCCGGGAAUUUAUUGGGCGUAAAAGAGCUCGUAGGCGGUUUGUCGCGUCUGCUGUGAAAAGGCCCGGGGGCUCAACCCCCGGGUCUGCAGUGGGUACGGGCAGACUAGAGUGCAGUAGGGGAGACUGGAAUUCCUGGUGUAGCGGUGAAAUGCGCAGAUAUCAGGAGGAACACCGAUGGCGAAGGCAGGUCUCUGGGCUGUUACUGACGCUGAGGAGCGAAAGCAUGGGGAGCGAACAGGAUUAGAUACCCUGGUAGUCCAUGCCGUAAACGUUGGGCACUAGGUGUGGGGGACAUUCCACGUUUUCCGCGCCGUAGCUAACGCAUUAAGUGCCCCGCCUGGGGAGUACGGCCGCAAGGCUAAAACUCAAAGGAAUUGACGGGGGCCCGCACAAGCGGCGGAGCAUGCGGAUUAAUUCGAUGCAACGCGAAGAACCUUACCAAGGCUUGACAUUCACCGGACUGCCCCAGAGAUGGGGUUUCCCUUCGGGGUCGGUGGACAGGUGGUGCAUGGUUGUCGUCAGCUCGUGUCGUGAGAUGUUGGGUUAAGUCCCGCAACGAGCGCAACCCUCGUUCUAUGUUGCCAGCACGUGAUGGUGGGGACUCAUAGGAGACUGCCGGGGUCAACUCGGAGGAAGGUGGGGAUGACGUCAAAUCAUCAUGCCCCUUAUGUCUUGGGCUUCACGCAUGCUACAAUGGCCGGUACAAAGGGUUGCGAUACUGUGAGGUGGAGCUAAUCCCAAAAAGCCGGUCUCAGUUCGGAUUGAGGUCUGCAACUCGACCUCAUGAAGUCGGAGUCGCUAGUAAUCGCAGAUCAGCAACGCUGCGGUGAAUACGUUCCCGGGCCUUGUACACACCGCCCGUCAAGUCACGAAAGUUGGUAACACCCGAAGCCGGUGGCCUAACCCCUUGUGGGAGG
This 1383-nucleotide ribosomal RNA is filed under the name Kocuria rosea subsp. polaris. RNAcentral's name for it is "Kocuria polaris 16S ribosomal RNA". It matches the Rfam family "Bacterial small subunit ribosomal RNA". The record is from RNAcentral. Lineage: Bacteria; Bacillati; Actinomycetota; Actinomycetes; Micrococcales; Micrococcaceae.